AGAUAGAGUUUGACCCUGGCUCAGGAUGAACGCUGGCGGCGUGCUAAACACAUGCAAGUCGGACGGUCGGCACUGGAAGUUUCGCUGGAAGGUGCCGGUAGUGGCGGACGGGUGAGUAACGCGUGAGGACAUGGCUCCAGGAGGGGGAUAACGUUUGGAAACGGACGCUAAGACCCCAUAUGCCGGAAGGUGAAAGUGGGCAACCAGCCUGGAGAGUGACUCGCGUCCUAUCAGCUAGUUGGCGGGGUGAAGGCCCACCAAGGCGAUGACGGGUAGCCGACCUGAGAGGGUGGCCGGCCACACUGGAACUGAGAUACGGUCCAGACUCCUACGGGAGGCAGCAGUGGGGAAUAUUGGGCAAUGGGCGAAAGCCUGACCCAGCGACGCCGCGUGGGGGAAGAAGUCCCUCGGGAUGUAAACCCUUGUUGUACGGGACGAAGGAAGUGACGGUACCGUACGAGGAAGCCCCGGCAAACUACGUGCCAGCAGCCGCGGUAAUACGUAGGGGGCGAGCGUUGUCCGGAAUCACUGGGCGUAAAGCGCACGUAGGCGGGCUGUUAAGUCGGCCGUGAAAGGCACUGGCUCAACCGGUGUUUGUCGGUCGAUACUGGCAGUCUGGAGUAUGGGAGAGGGAACUGGAAUUCCCGGUGUAGCGGUGGAAUGCGUAGAUAUCGGGAGGAACACCAGUGGCGAAGGCGGGUUCCUGGCCCAUGACUGACGCUGAGGUGCGAAAGCCGGGGGAGCGAACGGGAUUAGAUACCCCGGUAGUCCCGGCUGUAAACGAUGGAUGCUAGGUGUGGGGGGGUUCCCCUCUGUGCCGCAGCUAACGCGAUAAGCAUCCCGCCUGGGGAGUACGAUCGCAAGAUUGAAACUUAAAGGAAUUGACGG
RNAcentral lists this ribosomal RNA (888 nucleotides) under uncultured bacterium. Its description in RNAcentral is "bacterial SSU rRNA". It matches the Rfam family "Bacterial small subunit ribosomal RNA", at positions 1 to 916 of the family's 1533-position model. The record is from RNAcentral.